Non-coding RNA from Xyrichtys novacula (pearly razorfish), 1348 nucleotides. The record is from the annotation of a GenBank genome assembly. NCBI's taxonomy places the organism in Eukaryota, Metazoa, Chordata, Actinopteri, Labriformes, Labridae.
AGGAGACAAUAGAACAACAUUUAACUCACCUGCUCUGCAGUAGUGGCAUUUGCUUCACUUCUGUGCAUGUCAGUACAGCCUGUGUGAAAGGAGAAUGCAGAGUUAUUUUCUUGCAUCAUGUGGUUUGUUUGUUUUCUUACUCUAGAUCUGGCAGCAGGCUGUCAAGCAGUGGGGGUGGGAUGUGCACAUCAGGAGAGGAGAGCUCUGUGGAGUGGAGUUGUGCUCAGCUGGAUGCUGACAAACAGCAAAGCCCAGAGGAGUGGCUGGUAAGAUCAAAAAGCACAUUGGUUGAAAUCCCAAACCCCUGAAACAAAAUCUGAUAGAGGGAGAGUAUGAUGCUUCAGCUGCAAAAGGAGGGAACUUACCCUGGGGGUUGCACAGCAGUUUUCCUUUGGCUGUGAUGCAAUAAUGCAAUCAAAAAGCAGUGUUUCCCAGAGUCUUCAAUUUGUUUCGCCAAAUGUAAAAUGUUUUACACACCAAUAAAGAAACAAUCUUAAAGUUAAAAACAGUGAUACUAUUUAGUGCAAAACAUUGUACAAGGCUACAACUUCAGCUCUUCGUAGCAUUCGGGGUGUUCUUUUAAACAAUCAUGAGUCCAGCGUAGUGCUGAAUAUCCUUUAAUGCUAACUGUCUGUAUUUGGAUGGGAGUGAAAGGAACUUUUAUUUGAUCCACCAACUGUUGCUGAAAGGAUAUUUCCUGUAACCGUGCUGCUAUAUGGAGGCCCAAAACUGUGUAGCAGACUAAUGAACACUCUUUCCCAGGCAUGUUGUGUGAAGUGUAAGGCUUAAAUGUAUCCCUAAGAGCCCACAGAUACUUGUCUGCUCCAGCUAAUGAAGCUGUGAUUGCAGGGCUCCGUGCCUCUCGGCUUUGAUUGGAGAAGGAUUGAGUUGCCUCUCAACCAGACUGCCCUAAUCAACCUUCUCCACACCACAAAUAUCUUCCACUUCACUGUUUAUAUCUCUCUUGCACUCUGGCAACAGACCCCGAUAAUAAGGCAGCAUUUGAUUUUUGCAAAACAGGAAUAAGUGUUAUGAACACUGAUGGCACUGCCUGUAAAGUUUAAAUUCAAUUUAAGAUCUGAUUUUAGAGGAAAUGCUUUUUGGAGUUUGGACAUUUAUUUUCAAUUUUUAUUCUUACGGCUUCCAAUUUUGAAACAGUUGAACCCGUUACAUUUUGUUUUUUUUAAGAGGUGACACAUUAAGUAGAUGAUGUACUCUGAAAUGUGUCACCAUGUCAAAUGUAAAGGUUUCAGAUGCUCAGUUAAUUUAAAUGUCCUCUGUCCUCCAGCAGCCUCAGAUGCCUUGGGAGCCUCGAAUGUUCCCUUUGGGUGCUGUUGAGGUGGACGCA